Molecule: ribosomal RNA, 402 nt
Filed under: uncultured Desulfobulbus sp.
Lineage: Bacteria; Pseudomonadati; Thermodesulfobacteriota; Desulfobulbia; Desulfobulbales; Desulfobulbaceae
Description: bacterial SSU rRNA
Rfam family: Bacterial small subunit ribosomal RNA
Source: RNAcentral
GACAUCCCGGAGACCUUAGGAACUAGGGGUGCUUCCAUCUGGAAGAAUCUGGAGACAGGUGCUGCAUGGCUGUCGUCAGCUCGUGUCGUGAGAUGUUGGGUUAAGUCCCGCAACGAGCGCAACCCUUGCCUUAGUUGCCAGCAGUUCGGCUGGGCACUCUAAAGGGACUGCCGGUGUUAAACCGGAGGAAGGUGGGGAUGACGUCAAGUCCUCAUGGCCUUUAUGACCAGGGCUACACACGUACUACAAUGGCCGAUACAAAGGGCAGCGACACUGACGAGGUGAAGCCAAUCCCGUAAAAUCGGUCUCAGUCCGGAUUGGAGUCUGCAACUCGACUCCAUGAAGUUGGAAUCGCUAGUAAUCGUGGAUCAGCAUGCCACGGUGAAUACGUUCCCGGGCCUU